RNAcentral lists this long non-coding RNA (461 nucleotides) under Mytilus galloprovincialis (Mediterranean mussel). The record is from RNAcentral. Lineage: Eukaryota; Metazoa; Mollusca; Bivalvia; Mytilida; Mytilidae.
UCUCUAUCUAUGAUAAUAUUCAAGAUAAUAACCAAAAACGGCAAAAUUUCCUUAAAAUUACCAAUUCAGGGGCAGCAACCUAUCAACGGGUUGUCCGAUUCAUCUCAAAAUUUCAGGGCAGAUAGAUCUUGACCUGAUUAACAAUUUUAAAGAUUUGCUCUAAAUGCUUUGGUUUUUGAGUUAUAAGCCAAAAACUGCAUUUUACCCCUAUGUUCUAUUUUUAGCCAUGGCGGCCAUCUUGGUUGGUUGGCCGGGUCACCGGACACAAUUUUUAAACUAGAUACCCUAAUAAUGAUUGUGGCCAAGUUUGGUAAAAAUUGGCCCAGUAGUUUCAGAGGAGAAGAUUUUUGUAAAAGUUAACGACGGACGACGACGACGCCGGACGCCGGACGCCGGACGCCAAGUGAUGAGAAAAGCUCACUUGGCCCUUUGGGCCAGGUGAGCUAAAAAGGCAGGGCGCC